Molecule: non-coding RNA, 1763 nt
Organism: Helianthus annuus (common sunflower)
Lineage: Eukaryota; Viridiplantae; Streptophyta; Magnoliopsida; Asterales; Asteraceae
Source: Rfam
UCCCUGGUUGAUCCUGCCAGUAGUCAUAUGCUUGUCUCAAAGACUUAAGCCAUGCAUGUGUAGUAGAACAAAUUCAGACUGUGAAACUGCGAAUGGCUCUUAAAUCAGUUAUAGUUUGUUGAUGGUAUCUUGCUACUCGGCCGUAGUAAUUCUAGAGCUAAUACGUGCAACAAACCCCGACUUCUGGAAGGGAUGCAUUUAUUAGAUAAAAGGUCGCGCGGCUUUGCCCGUUGCUGCGAUGAUUCAUGAAACUCGACGGAUCGCACGGCCCUUGUGCGGCGACGCAUCAUUCAAAUUUCUGCCCUAUCAACUUUCGAUGCGGAUAGUGGCCUACUAUGGUGGUGACGGGUGACGGAGAAUUAGGGUUCGAUUCCGGAGAGGAGCCUGAGAAACGGCUACCACAUCCAAGGAAGGCAGCAGGCGCGCAUUACCCAAUCCUGACACGGGGAGUAGUGACAUAAUACAAUACCGGGCUCAUACGAGUCUGGUAAUUGGAAUGAGUACAAUCUAAAUCCCUUACAGGAUCAUUGGAUGGCAAGUCUGGUGCCAGCAGCCGCGUUAAUUCCAGCUCCAAUAGCGUAUAUUUAAGUUGUUGCAGUUAAAAAGCUCGUAGUUGGGAUUUGGGUUGGGUCGCCGGUCCGCCAUCAGGUGUGCACCGGUUUACUCGUCCUCUUCGGCGAUCGCCUCCUACCCUUUAACUGGGCGGGUCGUUGCCUCCGGCGUUGUUACUUGAGAACUUAGAGUGCUCAAAAGCAAGCCUACGCUCUGUAUCAUAGCAUGGGUAAAAUCAUAGGAUUUCGGUUAACGUAUGGCCUUCGGGUCGGGAUCUGAUUAACGGGACAGUCGGGGCUUCGUAUUUCAUAGUCAGAGGUGAAUUCUUGGAUUUAUGAAAGACGAACAACUGCGAAGCAUUUGCCAAGGAUGUUUUCAUUAUCAAGAACGAAAGUUGGGGGCUCGAAGACGAUCAGAUUACCGUCCUAGUCUCACCAUAAACGAUGCCCGACAGGAUCAGGGAUGCUGCUUUUAGACUUCGCGGACUUAUGAGAAUCAGUUUUGGGUUCCGGGGGAGUUGGUGCAGGCUGAACACUUAUAAAGGAAUUGCGAAGGGCACCACAGGCGUUGAGCCUGCGGCCUUAUUGACUUCCACGGGAAAUUCACCAGUCCAGCAUAGUAAGGUUGACAGACUGGAGCUUUUUUUUUCUUGAUAUUAUGGGUAGGUGGUGCUGGCCUUCUUAGUUGGUGAGCAUUUGUCUGGUUUAAUUCCGUUAACGAACGAGCCCUCAGCCUGCUAACUAAGCUAUGUGGAGGUAUCCCUCCAUGGCCAGCUUCUUAGAGGACUAUGGCCUUUAGGCCACGGAAGUUUGAGGCAUAACAGGUCGUUGUGAUGCCCUUAGAUGUUUCUGGGCCGCACGCGCGCUACACUGAUGUAUCAACGAGUAUAUAGCCUUGGCCGACAGGCCCGGGAAAUCUUUGAAAAUUUCAUCGUGAUGGAUUGAUCAUAUGCAAUUGUUGCUCUUAAACGAGGAAUUCCUAGUAAGCGCGAGUCAUCAGCUCGCGUUGACUACGUCCCUGCCCUUUGUACACACCGCCCGUCGCUCCUACCGAUUUGGAAUGGUCCGGGAAGUGUUUAGGAUCGUGGCGACGUGGGGCGGUUCGCUGCCCGCGACGUCGCGAAGAAUUCCACUGAACCUUAUCAUUUAGAGGAAGGAAGAAGAGAAAGUCGUAACAAGGUUUCCGUAGGUGAACCUGCGGAAGGAUAUGUC